UCCCCUCAACUUUUGAAAAAUACCCAUCGCUUUGGCACAAAAUGAUGUUUUUCUAUUUGCAAUCCCUUACUUCUUUCCAAUAAUGAAAAAGUAAACGACACCCUAAAAAACUACAGUAACACACUAAUCCAGCAGCUUUGAUUUUCUCAAUGAUACUAUUUGCCUCCUCUUUUUUGACCUGUUGCUCAAGUAUAACUGGCACUUUCUCGACCAAUUCUUUAGCCUCCUUCAGUCCCAGAUCUGUGAAUGCAUGAACCUCUUUGAUUACCUUGAUUUUUACAGCCGCUUCAAAUUACAGCCCCA
Molecule: long non-coding RNA, 303 nt
Filed under: Olea europaea subsp. europaea
Lineage: Eukaryota; Viridiplantae; Streptophyta; Magnoliopsida; Lamiales; Oleaceae
Source: RNAcentral